AACAGGAUUAGAUACCCUGGUAGUCCACGCCGUAAACGAUGAUAACUAGCUGUCCGGGGACUUGGUCUUUGGGUGGCGCAGCUAACGCAUUAAGUUAUCCGCCUGGGGAGUACGGCCGCAAGGUUAAAACUCAAAUGAAUUGACGGGGGCCUGCACAAGCGGUGGAGCAUGUGGUUUAAUUCGAAGCAACGCGCAGAACCUUACCAGCGUUUGACAUGUCCGGACGAUUUCCAGAGAUGGAUCUCUUCCCUUCGGGGACUGGAACACAGGUGCUGCAUGGCUGUCGUCAGCUCGUGUCGUGAGAUGUUGGGUUAAGUCCCGCAACGAGCGCAGCCCUCGCCUUUAGUUACCAUCAUUUAGUUGGGGACUCUAAAGGAACCGCCGGUGAUAAGCCGGAGGAAGGUGGGGAUGACGUCAAGUCCUCAUGGCCCUUACGCGCUGGGCUACACACGUGCUACAAUGGCGGUGACAGUGGGCAGCAAACUCGCGAGAGUGCGCUAAUCUCCAAAUGCCGUCUCAGUUCGGAUUGUUCUCUGCAACUCGAGAGCAUGGAGGCGGAAUCGCUAGUAAUCGCGGAUCAGCAUGCCGCGGUGAAUACGUUCCCAGGCCUUGUACACACCGCCCGUCACACCAUGGGAGUUGGGUUCACCCGAAGGCGUUGCGCUAACUCGCAAGAGAGGCAGGCGACCACGGUGGGCUUAGCGACUGGGGUGAAGUCGUAACAAGGUAACC
RNAcentral lists this ribosomal RNA (732 nucleotides) under uncultured bacterium. RNAcentral's name for it is "bacterial SSU rRNA". It matches the Rfam family "Bacterial small subunit ribosomal RNA", at positions 771 to 1501 of the family's 1533-position model. The record is from RNAcentral.